RNAcentral lists this ribosomal RNA (1463 nucleotides) under uncultured Klebsiella sp. RNAcentral's name for it is "bacterial SSU rRNA". It matches the Rfam family "Bacterial small subunit ribosomal RNA". The record is from RNAcentral. Lineage: Bacteria; Pseudomonadati; Pseudomonadota; Gammaproteobacteria; Enterobacterales; Enterobacteriaceae.
AUUGAACGCUGGCGGCAGGCCUAACACAUGCAAGUCGAGCGGUAGCACAGAGAGCUUGCUCUCGGGUGACGAGCGGCGGACGGGUGAGUAAUGUCUGGGAAACUGCCUGAUGGAGGGGGAUAACUACUGGAAACGGUAGCUAAUACCGCAUAAUGUCGCAAGACCAAAGUGGGGGACCUUCGGGCCUCAUGCCAUCAGAUGUGCCCAGAUGGGAUUAGCUAGUAGGUGGGGUAACGGCUCACCUAGGCGACGAUCCCUAGCUGGUCUGAGAGGAUGACCAGCCACACUGGAACUGAGACACGGUCCAGACUCCUACGGGAGGCAGCAGUGGGGAAUAUUGCACAAUGGGCGCAAGCCUGAUGCAGCCAUGCCGCGUGUGUGAAGAAGGCCUUCGGGUUGUAAAGCACUUUCAGCGGGGAGGAAGGCGAUAAGGUUAAUAACCUUGUCGAUUGACGUUACCCGCAGAAGAAGCACCGGCUAACUCCGUGCCAGCAGCCGCGGUAAUACGGAGGGUGCAAGCGUUAAUCGGAAUUACUGGGCGUAAAGCGCACGCAGGCGGUCUGUCAAGUCGGAUGUGAAAUCCCCGGGCUCAACCUGGGAACUGCAUUCGAAACUGGCAGGCUAGAGUCUUGUAGAGGGGGGUAGAAUUCCAGGUGUAGCGGUGAAAUGCGUAGAGAUCUGGAGGAAUACCGGUGGCGAAGGCGGCCCCCUGGACAAAGACUGACGCUCAGGUGCGAAAGCGUGGGGAGCAAACAGGAUUAGAUACCCUGGUAGUCCACGCCGUAAACGAUGUCGAUUUGGAGGUUGUGCCCUUGAGGCGUGGCUUCCGGAGCUAACGCGUUAAAUCGACCGCCUGGGGAGUACGGCCGCAAGGUUAAAACUCAAAUGAAUUGACGGGGGCCCGCACAAGCGGUGGAGCAUGUGGUUUAAUUCGAUGCAACGCGAAGAACCUUACCUGGUCUUGACAUCCACAGAACUUUCCAGAGAUGGAUUGGUGCCUUCGGGAACUGUGAGACAGGUGCUGCAUGGCUGUCGUCAGCUCGUGUUGUGAAAUGUUGGGUUAAGUCCCGCAACGAGCGCAACCCUUAUCCUUUGUUGCCAGCGGUUCGGCCGGGAACUCAAAGGAGACUGCCAGUGAUAAACUGGAGGAAGGUGGGGAUGACGUCAAGUCAUCAUGGCCCUUACGACCAGGGCUACACACGUGCUACAAUGGCAUAUACAAAGAGAAGCGACCUCGCGAGAGCAAGCGGACCUCAUAAAGUAUGUCGUAGUCCGGAUUGGAGUCUGCAACUCGACUCCAUGAAGUCGGAAUCGCUAGUAAUCGUAGAUCAGAAUGCUACGGUGAAUACGUUCCCGGGCCUUGUACACGCCGCCCGUCACACCAUGGGAGUGGGUUGCAAAAGAAGUAGGUAGCUUAACCUUCGGGAGGGCGCUUACCACUUUGUGAUUCAUGACUGGGGUGA